Long non-coding RNA from Acinonyx jubatus (cheetah), 1437 nucleotides. RefSeq lists it as uncharacterized. The record is from RefSeq and is a predicted model, not a curated record. The transcript has 3 exons. Lineage: Eukaryota; Metazoa; Chordata; Mammalia; Carnivora; Felidae.
GGGCCCUGCCCCUCAGGCCCCGCCCCCGCCCGCAGGGCUGUUUGUCGCUGCCGCAGUCGCCGCAGCUCCCGGGCUCGCAGCGUCCGGAGUCGCGUCCACAGGGCGGGCUUCAGGGGCUCCAGCACCGCCCGGCACAGGGCGGCCUCCAACGCGGCGCCUGUGAGGGGUUGAGUCCCUGGAGGUGUCUCUGUGGUGAUCUGCUCCAAACCCCACCCUCCGUGGGUCUCCAGGUACAGCUUGUUCACCACGGGGAGCACCUUCUCCGAGAUGUUGAGUUGGACGCCGCCGGUCUGUGGAAGACCUGGGAGCCAGCACAACCGAGGUGUCCCAGAUGUCCCAGGCGCCAGGCCUGGUUCCUUCAGGGUACCAGGAGAAUUAAUUCCCAGCCUCAUUACCGAAGGAGCUGAGGCUUCGUCCCUGGUCCCUUGUCACUCAGGCCCAGGAGUCGAGCCUCCCACAGCUCUCUCAGACCCCCAUUCUAUCUUCCCUCAAACACAGAAGUCUGGUUCCUGAAGUGCCAUCCUUCUGGACCAAGGAGGCUGGAAGGUGGCCUCUCACCUGUUUGUUGGUCUCCUGGUCUUAGAGUGGGAGGGGGCAAGAGCAGUGUUCUGGGCAAAACAUCCCUGAGAAAAGAUAAUGGGGAGCUGCAGUGGGGGGGAUGCCUUAGAGUUGGAUCCCCCUUAGCCCUUUUGACGAGUAACCUGUACCUGCUGGCUGAUAGGAAAGCCAGGAGAUGGGGCAGGUCCGGCAUACAGAGGUUAGAGUAUUCCAGAGAAACACCUGAGGGUUGGGGGCAACAAAGGGCAAGGAAGAAAAGUUGAAGGGUGGCAGCCUCAUCUUCCCUGGGACUCUCUCUUCCUCAGUUCUGCAGUCCCCCAACAGCCCUUCAACACAGGGAAAUUUCUACCCCUUGAAGUCCCCAUCUUUUCCUGUGUCUUUAGGCUUGCAUCCCACUUAUGCCACCAAAUAGGAUUUGGGAGAUUAUUUUGGAAGCAAAGCUCACCAAAUUUGCUGUGGACUGGAAACUCAGGAGUAGGCUCCUUACCUCCAGGAAGCUUCUGGAUCUGAACUGCAGGGUUGUGAGGGCCUCAUCUGCCCAGCCGUAGAAGAUGGAUAAUGAUGUAGGUGGUGUUUCUCACCUCGGGUUUUAUAACCCCUAGGGGAGCUUUAAACAAUGUAUUGCUACCCGGGGCCCCCCUCCAUAUGUUUUGAAUCAAUUGUGAAGGCUUUUGGUUUUCCUGUUUCUUUUAACCUGCGCUUCCUUUCUCGUCUUCCUCCUGCCUGGAGCUCACACACGUGCUUGGACCCGGGGCAGCCACUGGGCAACCACGGAGGAAGUACAAGAGAAUUGCAAAAGCUGGCCUUGAUGUCCCCGAGCUGCUAAACUAGAGCCUGCAGCUGCCUUUCUGGUACAAAGAGCAGUGCCUAUUUGCCUAA